UAGGUGGCGAGCGUUGUCCGGAAUAACUGGGCGUAAAGGGAGCGUAGGUGGUAAUUUAAGUUAAAUGUGAAAGCCCACGGCUUAACCUUGGAAUUGCAUUUAAUACUGGAUUACUAGAGUGCAGGAGGGGUAAGCGGAAUUCCUAGUGUAGCGGUGGAAUGCGUAGAUAUUAGGAGGAACACCAGAGGCGAAGGCGGCUUACUGGACUGUAACUGACACUGAGGCUCGAAAGCGUGGGGAGCAAA
RNAcentral lists this ribosomal RNA (245 nucleotides) under uncultured bacterium. RNAcentral describes it as "partial 16S ribosomal RNA". It matches the Rfam family "Bacterial small subunit ribosomal RNA", at positions 528 to 772 of the family's 1533-position model. The record is from RNAcentral.